GUUAAAGUGAAUACUACAUCGUAGCCAAUGAGGUUUAUCUGAGGCGUGAUUAUUGCUAAUUGAAAACUUUUCCCAAUACCCCACCAUGACAACUUGAAAUAUAGUUGGCAUUGACAAUUUUUGACAGUCUCUACGGAGG
Molecule: small nuclear RNA, 139 nt
Organism: Saimiri boliviensis boliviensis (Bolivian squirrel monkey)
Lineage: Eukaryota; Metazoa; Chordata; Mammalia; Primates; Cebidae
Gene: U4
Rfam family: U4 spliceosomal RNA
About the family: U4 small nuclear RNA (U4 snRNA) is a component of the major U2-dependent spliceosome.
Source: Ensembl